RNAcentral lists this ribosomal RNA (645 nucleotides) under uncultured archaeon. Its description in RNAcentral is "bacterial SSU rRNA". It matches the Rfam family "Archaeal small subunit ribosomal RNA", at positions 1 to 652 of the family's 1478-position model. The record is from RNAcentral.
UUCNGGGUGAUCCUUCCGGAGGUUACUGCUAUCGAGGUUCGACUAAGCCAUGCGAGUCGAAUGCCGCAAGGCAUGGCGUACUGCUCAGUAACACGUGGACAACCUACCCUUAGGACUGGGAUAACCCCGGGAAACUGGGAAUAAUCCCCGAUAGUCCUCGAAGGCUGGAAUGCAUCGAGGGCGAAAGCUCCGGCGCCUAAGGAUGGGUCUGCGGCCUAUCAGGUAGUAGUGGGUGUAGCGUACCUACUAGCCUACGACGGGUACGGGUUGUGAGAGCAAGAGCCCGGAGAUGGAUUCUGAGACACGAAUCCAGGCCCUACGGGGUGCAGCAGGCGCGAAAACUUUACAAUGCUGGCAACAGCGAUAAGGGAACCUCGAGUGCCAGGUUACAAAUCUGGCUGUCGAGAUGCCUAAAAAGCAUUUCAUAGCAAGGGCCGGGCAAGACCGGUGCCAGCCGCCGCGGUAACACCGGCGGCUCGAGUGGUAACCGUUAUUAUUGGGUCUAAAGGGUCUGUAGCCGGCCGGAUAAGUCUCUUGGGAAAUCUGGCAGCUCAACUGUCAGGCUAUCAGGAGAUACUGUCUGGCUCGAGGCCGGGAGAGGUGAGAGGUACUUCAGGGGUAGGGGUGAAAUCUUGUAAUCCUUUG